GCGGCUAUGGUCCAGUGGCAAGAUCUCAGCCCCCCAAGCUGAUGACCCGGGUUCGAAUCCCGGUAGCCGCA
RNAcentral lists this transfer RNA (71 nucleotides) under Candidatus Bathyarchaeota archaeon. Its description in RNAcentral is "tRNA-Gly". It matches the Rfam family "tRNA". Rfam says of the family: Transfer RNA (tRNA) molecules are approximately 80 nucleotides in length. Their secondary structure includes four short double-helical elements and three loops (D, anti-codon, and T loops). The record is from RNAcentral. Lineage: Archaea; Thermoproteati; Candidatus Bathyarchaeota.